Molecule: long non-coding RNA, 2596 nt
Filed under: Nicotiana tabacum (common tobacco)
Lineage: Eukaryota; Viridiplantae; Streptophyta; Magnoliopsida; Solanales; Solanaceae
Description: long non-coding RNA (NTAB_LNC018330)
Source: RNAcentral
ACGGCCCAAUUUCAUGAAUUUAUUACAGCCUAUUGCCCAUUAGUUGCGAUCGAAAGAAACUAAAACUAACAAUAAGCAAAUAAGAGUUAAAAGCGUGAGUUUGAGCAAGAAAAUUAAAGGCUAAACUACAUUCAAAAUCUACAUGCUAUCAACAAACUAAUUAACCUUUAACAUUUCAAAAUAAAGUAUCCAUAAUUAUGUCAAAAACAAUGUAUAACAGAUAUACUAACUGAAUAUGGUUUCAACCACCCGUGUAGAGAAAAAUGAUUGAUUUAACUAAUUUCUAACAUAUGUACAUGCUUAACACAAAUGUAACAUUCAUUCUUGAGCAAAAUUGAAUAUGAGAAUUCUCCAGGAGUCCAAACCAAAUUCCAAGCUUCUUUAUUACUGUAAAAUACCUACAGUACAAGGUCAAAAAGUUACCUGAUUAGCAGCGAAACAAAGAAACAGUUAUUCGAACUUGGAAUUCAACUAUUGGGAAACCCAGUAGAAGCAGCAGACUUUCGAAAGAGAAAGAACUUAGCAAAAAGCUUUAAGUAUUCCCCUAUUAUUCUGAAGGAUUUUAUACUUAAAGAUGCUACUCAACUAGCUCUCCAGUUUCAGCUUCCUCUAUGCAUUCAGAUGCUGAUUUUUCCUCUCUAAGAUGUUUUCAAAGACCCAUUGAAUAAUGUGUGUAAAAAAUAUCUUUUUUAGAGUCCAAGAUCUUUUUUAAAUGAGAAAAGAGCUCCUCUUUUUAUAGGGGAGGAAAGGCAUUGAGACAGAUUUUGUUUGACCAAAAAUUUGUCCAAAAUGAUAGAUUUUUGACCAAAAAUAUAUCCAAAACCAAAAUUUUGGUCAAUGAACAGUUUUUCUUACUAAUUGUGGACAGAAUUUUAGAGUAUUGUACUCCAAAACAGUCAGUAAAAGCAACCAAACCAAGAACCCUACACUCAAGUACCCCCUUGCUACCCUUCCCCUUUAUCUUCAAUUCAUUCAUUCAGCAGAAAUAGAUCUCAAGCCAGACUUAGAUUGGCCAAAUCUAGUAGUAAAAGGGGAGAACUUUACCAACAAACCAAAACUCAAACAAUUAAGUUAAACCAAACAAAAGCAUACCAUAUAUAUAUAUAUAUAUUAAAAACUCUUUAAUUUGAUGUUAAAUUUGACCACAAAACAUGUGCGCAGGGGCGUACACAGAACUUUCAGUAAGCGGUGUCACAAUUAAUUGGUAGCCGAUAACCCAAAGGAGUUCACGGAGAUGACGAGAUUGAGAAGUUGAGUACAGUAAUAGCAAGCUAGCACAAAUAAAUAUUGCAAAUUUAUGAAGUAAUUAUUCUGAAUUGAGCGUUUAAAAGGUGUUAAAUAAAAUUAAACAAAAGAUCAUGUAUGCAGGAAUCGAACCCUGAACCUUUACUACCUUAACCAAAGGCUUAACCACUAAACUAACACUGAAAUAUUUGUCAAGUGGUGUCACUUUAGAUAAUAUGUACAAAUUUCCUAUUCGCAUGUCAUUUACAGCAACAGUUUUAAUCAAAAUUUCUGACGAUGCGGUGUCACGUGACACCAUUUCGAUGUACGUACAUACGCCCUUGCAAUGCGUCUCAAACAAAAUGAUCCUAAUUGAGUGACGACAAUAAAAUUUAACAACUGAGGAAUCUGACGAGUGACAAACUAUCUUAGUUAAAUGUCUAACUAUAUCAACAGACCCUAUUUAACAUGAAUUAACCAUAGUGAACAAUAAUCACAUGAGAAGCAACUUUAAACCUUCAAUUUAACUAAAAUGACCAGCGAGUUUGUUGAAAAAUGCUAAAACUUCAAACACCACUAGCAGAACUUAUGAGAUAGGAAUCCGAACAACAAAAUAGUUUGAGAUCAACGAGCGACGACUAAUCAUUACUAACUCUAAACUAACUAACGACUAACUAAAGAUAAAUAAAACACAUGAUCAAACAAAGAUCAAAAAAUUUAGACCUAAACAAACUACAAUGAAACAGAAAGAAAAAGAAAGGGGACAUAAGAGAUUAGGGUGUACCUGAAACUAAAGUGUCCGAAAUAGUGGUGGUGCGACAGUGGUGGUGAUUCUGGCAGCGAUAGAUGAAGUUUUGAUGUCGGACAUGCUCUUCUUAUUGCUAGCCCGUCACUAUCAACUCCAAUCAAACUGAAGUCGAAUAACGAACUCAGAAACAAGAAGAGCUUGUUCGAGCCAAAGUAGAAGCGGCCAGCAACCCGCCGGAAUUGAGCCACCGGAGUUUCGACUUUGAACCAAGAAAGAACGGUAGACUAGGGGGAGACCUACACACUCAUGUAGGUAUUAAGUGGUGGUGAGGUCUCAAACUUGAAAAAUCUAAGGAAAAAUAGGCGGCUAGGGUUUCAAGUUUUCGAAGAUUUGUGAUGUUUGAGAAGGAUUUAAAGGAUUUGGGGUUUGGAUUCAUGAAGAGGAGGUUGAUAUGAAUAGUGGGUGAAAUUUUGGUGGUGUUUGGAGCACCACCAGCAGUGGCGCACGGUGGUGGCAGUGGAGGAAGGCGGCGGCGGCUUGAGAAAAGAGAGAGAGGGGUCUCUAGGGUUUGGGUCCUUAUAUAAAUGGCAAGUAAUCAGAUUUUAAAAGGAUUUUAUACCUCAA